RNAcentral lists this ribosomal RNA (476 nucleotides) under uncultured bacterium. Its description in RNAcentral is "bacterial SSU rRNA". It matches the Rfam family "Bacterial small subunit ribosomal RNA", at positions 328 to 793 of the family's 1533-position model. The record is from RNAcentral.
UCAGUCGACUCCUACGGGGAGGCAGCAGUGGGGAAUAUUGCACAAUGGGGGAAACCCUGAUGCAGCCAUGCCGCGUGUGUGAAGAAGGCCUUCGGGUGUAAAGCACUUUCAGUAGGGAGGAAGGUAGUGUAGUUAACACCUGCAUUAUUUGACGUUACCUACAGAAGAAGCACCGGCUAACUCCGUGCCAGCAGCCGCGGUAAUACGGAGGGUGCGAGCGUUAAUCGGAAUUACUGGGCGUAAAGCGCAUGCAGGCGGCCUGUUAAGUCAGAUGUGAAAGCCCGGGGCUUAACCUCGGAAUUGCAUUUGAAACUAGGCAGGCUAGAGUCUUGUAGAGGGGGGUAGGAAUUUCAGGUGUAGCGGUGAAAUAGCGUAGAGAUCUGAAGGAAUAUCAGUGGCGAAGGCGGCCCCCUGGACAAAGACUGACGCUCAGAUGCGAAAGCGUGGGGAGCAAACAGGAUUAGAUACCCUGGUAG